CCUACGGACGGCAGCAGUAGGGAAUCUUCGGCAAUGGGGGGAACCCUGACCGAGCAACGCCGCGUGAGUGAAGAAGGUUUACGGAUCGUAAAGCUCUGUUGUAAGAGAAGAACGGGUGUGAGAGUGGAAAGUUCACACUGUGACGGUAUCUUACCAGAAAGGGACGGCUAACUACGUGCCAGCAGCCGCGGGAAUACGUAGGUCCCGAGCGUUGUCCGGAUUUAUUGGGCGUAAAGCGAGCGCAGGCGGUUAGAUAAGUCUGAAGUUAAAGGCUGUGGCUUAACCAUAGUAUGCUUUGGAAACUGUUUAACUUGAGUGCAGAAGGGGAGAGUGGAAUUCCCUGUGUAGCGGUGAAAUGCGUAGAUAUAUGGAGGAACACCGGUUGCGAAAGCGGCUCUCUGGUCUGUAACUGACGCUGAGGCUCGAAAGCGUGGGUAGCAAACAGGAUUAGAUACCCCUGUAGUC
This 465-nucleotide ribosomal RNA is filed under the name uncultured Streptococcus sp. RNAcentral's name for it is "bacterial SSU rRNA". It matches the Rfam family "Bacterial small subunit ribosomal RNA", at positions 338 to 795 of the family's 1533-position model. Lineage: Bacteria; Bacillati; Bacillota; Bacilli; Lactobacillales; Streptococcaceae. The record is from RNAcentral.